CCUUAGUUUGAUCCUGGCUCAGAACGAACGCUGGCGGCGUGGAUAAGACAUGCAAGUCGCACGGAGUGCCUUCGGGCACUGAGUGGCGCACGGGUGAGUAACACGUGAGUAACCUGCCCCUGAGACAGGGAUAGCCCCGGGAAACUGGGAUUAAUACCUGAUGGUCUCGCAAGAGUAAAGCAGCAAUGCGCUCAGGGAGGGGCUCGCGUCCUAUUAGUUAGUUGGCGGGGUAACGGCCCACCAAGGCGAUGACGGGUAGCCGGUCUGAGAGGAUGUCCGGCCACACUGGAACUGAGACACGGUCCAGACACCUACGGGUGGCAGCAGUCGAGAAUCAUUCACAAUGGGCGCAAGCCUGAUGGUGCGACGCCGCGUGGGGGAGGAAGGUCUUCGGAUUGUAAACCCCUGUCAUGUGGGAGCAAGACUUCGGUUUGAUAGUACCACAAGAGGAAGAGACGGCAAACUCUGUGCCAGCAGCCGCGGUAAUACAGAGGUCUCAAGCGUUGUUCGGAAUCACUGGGCGUAAAGGGUACGUAGGCGGCAUCAUAAGUCGUGCGUGAAAGGCAGGGGCUCAACCUCUGGAGUGCGCGUGAUACUGUGAUGCUGGAGUAAUGGAGGGGGAACCGGAAUUCUUGGUGUAGCAGUGAAAUGCGUAGAUAUCAAGAAGAAGACUCGUGGCGAAGGCGGGUUCCUGGACAUUUACUGACGCUGAGGUACGAAGGCCAGGGUAGCGAAAGGGAUUAGAUACCCCUGUAGUCCUGGCAGUAAACGGUGCACGUUUGGUGUGCGGAGAUUCGACCCUCUGCGUGCCGGAGUUAACACGUUAAACGUGCCGCCUGGGGAGUACGGUCGCAAGAUUAAAACUCAAAGAAAUUGACGGGGACCCGCACAAGCGGUGGAACAUGUGGUUUAAUUCGAUGAUACGCGAGGAACCUUACCUGGGCUAGAACGGCAGUCUGCUUCUUGGGAGAGACCCCUUGAUUCUUCGGACAGACUGUUGAGGUGCUGCAUGGUUGUCGUCAGCUCGUGCCGUGAGGUGUCGGCUUAAGUGCCAUAACGAGCGCAACCCUUGCUGUCAGUUGCCAUCGGGUAAUGCCGGGCACUCUGGCGGGACUGCCAUCGCAAGAUGUGAGGAAGGUGGGGAUGACGUCAAAUCAGCACGGCCCUUACGUCCAGGGCUACACACGUGUUACAAUGGGAGGAACAAUGGGAAGCCAUCCGGCGACGGAGUGCAGAUCCCCAAACCCUCUCCCAGUUCGGAUUGGAGUCUGCAACCCGACUCCAUGAAGCUGGAUUCGCUAGUAAUCGCGCAUCAGCCAUGUCGCGGUGAAUACGUUCCCGGGCCUUGCACUCACCGCCCGUA
RNAcentral lists this ribosomal RNA (1363 nucleotides) under uncultured bacterium. RNAcentral describes it as "bacterial SSU rRNA". It matches the Rfam family "Bacterial small subunit ribosomal RNA". The record is from RNAcentral.